UUAUUCUGAUAUUAAGCAACACUUUACAAGCAUUAUCCUUGUCCUUGGUACAUUAAAAGUAAUGCGGUGCAGACGUGGUUUGAAUUAAAAAUAAUUAGCACAAAAAUUCCCACUUAAACGAUUCCCUCUAAAAUUUCUCACUUCCCCUCUAAAUUUUUUUAUUAAAAGUCUAAGCGAUUCCAGUUGCCCCUUUACUCUAAGGUUUGAAACCCACAACCUUCUUCACUUGAUUUAAAAAAAAACUGUCCAUUGCACCCAAUCUUCGUCAAAAAGGGAAAGAAGAAAAUGAUUUCACCCAACUGGUGAUGCUCUUCAAAAGCAGGAGAUCUAAUUUACUUUAUUUGAUUCCUCCUAAGAUAUGAGUUACAUAAGUCAGUUUCUCAAGACAACAAGAAAGUAUUGAGCUUAGGGGAGCCAGUACUAGACGUUGUUAUCUUGUGUAUAGCUCCACUCCUUUUGAAACUUCUACAAGAAUGGAUAAUCCAAGAAUUUCUUGUCUUUUGUCAAACUUUGCAGUGGUUUACCGACAAGAAGAUGCGAUUCAACUUACAGGUUUGUUAUGCCAAUGAAGAAUUGUGACCUUGACAUCAAAGGGGUUUACUUUUCGCAAGUAUUACUCAAACUGAAGGAACAAUAGAAUUAGUCAAGGUCCUUAUAAUAUAUAACUUCAUCAUAUCUCAUUUAGAUGUGUUAGCUACCCUAUCCUUCUACGAUGAUUCAAGUAACGCAGAGGCUGUUAGAGACCAAAUGUUUUCAAAUUCCUUUGGAUCUAACUCAUAGUCCAAUUCUUGGAAAGGAAAAUUCUUGUGAUGCUAUUAAACGUGGUGGCCAAAGUCAAUUUGAUCCAUUUGAAGUUAAUGAUGAAGACUUUUGGACAAUACAUUUGAUUUUGUAAAGUUCAUAUUUAGCACACUACUUGAAGCAAUUUGCUUUAUUGGUUGAUUGUAGUAUAUGAAAUGUAUUCCUUUUUCGAAGUAAAUUGCAUGUAUGUGUUUAAACAAUCUCUUUUUUUAUUGAU
Nicotiana tabacum (common tobacco) is the source of this 1018-nucleotide long non-coding RNA. RefSeq lists it as uncharacterized. NCBI's taxonomy places the organism in Eukaryota, Viridiplantae, Streptophyta, Magnoliopsida, Solanales, Solanaceae. The record is from RefSeq and is a predicted model, not a curated record.